This 209-nucleotide ribosomal RNA is filed under the name uncultured bacterium. RNAcentral describes it as "partial 16S ribosomal RNA". It matches the Rfam family "Bacterial small subunit ribosomal RNA", at positions 568 to 775 of the family's 1533-position model. The record is from RNAcentral.
AGCGCAGGCGGGAAGACAAGUUGGAAGUGAAGUCUAUGGGCUCAACCCAUAAACUGCUUUCAAAACUGUUUUUCUUUGAGUAGUGCAGAGGUAGGCGGAAUUCCCGGUGUAGCGGUGGAAUGCGUAGAUAUCGGGAGGAACACCAGUGGCGAAGGCGGCCUACUGGGCACCAACUGACGCUGAGGCUCGAAAGUGUGGGUAGCAAAACA